UCUUUCGUAGCUUAGUGGUCAGAGCAUUGGUGCGUAAAGCCGAAAGUCCCGGGUUCGACUUCCGACAAUGGUG
Molecule: non-coding RNA, 73 nt
Organism: Agrilus planipennis (emerald ash borer)
Lineage: Eukaryota; Metazoa; Arthropoda; Insecta; Coleoptera; Buprestidae
Source: Rfam